ACUAUUUUGGCAGAUAUAGUGCGGUAAAUUUAGAAUUUAUUUAUGUAAAUUUGUUUACAAAUAGUA
This 66-nucleotide transfer RNA is filed under the name Aponsila sp. FS-2019. RNAcentral's name for it is "tRNA-Leu". Lineage: Eukaryota; Metazoa; Arthropoda; Insecta; Hemiptera; Plataspidae. The record is from RNAcentral.